This 405-nucleotide ribosomal RNA is filed under the name uncultured Oscillospiraceae bacterium. Its description in RNAcentral is "bacterial SSU rRNA". It matches the Rfam family "Bacterial small subunit ribosomal RNA", at positions 355 to 774 of the family's 1533-position model. The record is from RNAcentral. Lineage: Bacteria; Bacillati; Bacillota; Clostridia; Eubacteriales; Oscillospiraceae.
UGGGGAAUAUUGCACAAUGGGCGCAAGCCUGAUGCAGCAACGCCGCGUGAGGGAAGACGGUCUUCGGAUUGUAAACCUUUGUCUUUGGUGAAGAAGAAAGUGACGGUAGCCAAGGAGGAAGCCACGGCUAACUACGUGCCAGCAGCCGCGGUAAUACGUAGGUGGCAAGCGUUGUCCGGAAUUACUGGGUGUAAAGGGAGCGCAGGCGGGACAGCAAGUUGGAUGUGAAAUACCGAGGCUUAACCACGGAGCUGCAUCCAAAACUGUUGUUCUUGAGUGAAGUAGAGGUAGGCGGAAUUCCGAGUGUAGCGGUGAAAUGCGUAGAUAUUAGGAGGAACACCAGUGGCGAAGGCGGUCUACUGGACGAUAACUGACGCUGAGGCGCGAAAGCGUGGGGAGCAAACA